This 339-nucleotide unclassified non-coding RNA is filed under the name soil metagenome. RNAcentral describes it as "partial contains 5.8S ribosomal RNA, internal transcribed spacer 2, and large subunit ribosomal RNA". The stretch from base 1 to 120 matches the Rfam family "5.8S ribosomal RNA", at positions 35 to 154 of the family's 154-position model. The record is from RNAcentral.
GAUGAAGAACGUAGCGAAAUGCGAUACGUAGUGUGAAUUGCAGAAUUCAGUGAAUCAUCGAAUCUUUGAACGCACAUUGCACCUCUCGGUAUUCCGGGAGGUAUGCCUGUUCGAGCGUCAUUUGUACCCUCAAGCUCUGCUUGGUGUUGGGUGUUUGUUCCGCCUCUGUGUGUGACCUCGCCUCAAAACAAUUGGCAGCCGGCGUACUUGUUUCGGAGCGCAGCACAUUUUGCGAUCCAGAUCAACGUACAGCGGCAUCCAAGAAGCCUUAUUUAACGCUCUUGACCUCGGAUCAGGUAGGGAUACCCGCUGAACUUAAGCAUAUCAAUAAGCGGAGGA